Long non-coding RNA from Astatotilapia calliptera (eastern happy), 1026 nucleotides. The record is from Ensembl. Lineage: Eukaryota; Metazoa; Chordata; Actinopteri; Cichliformes; Cichlidae.
AUGGCUGACAACGUUCUAGCAAUGUGUGCAGGAAGUCAGGUGACUUCAUGCGACUAGCCUCAAUAAAUGAAUUCAUGGAUAUUUGUGACUACAAAAUUCACAAAUUGAUCUAGACAUGUUAGGUGCCUACAUUUUGCAAGGUACUGUAUUUCAGUAUGGACUGAUGCACAAGGAAAAGGUUCAUUGUGAUGUGGUCCCCACAGUUACAUAUAGUUGAUGCAGUAUUGCUUUUAUUUGAAGCGGUUAUUACCAGGCAGAUGCUGAGUUGGUUUUAACCUCUCUGUCUCUGAUCGAUCUGCCCCGGGGUGCUCCAUCGCAGUGCUGUGAAUCCCAAACCAGUUUUAUAUAAUGAUGAGCAAAGCAGAUCUGGGUGGGGUGAUCAUAAGAAUCAUCAAUUGCAAUUGGUCAUUUGUAUUGACGGAAACCUAAGCGUUCAAUACUUUCCAAACAGACACUACUGACUCCAUUCAGAGAGUGCUGGUGAUCGGUCAAGAGGGCGCACAUCAGCCUAUCACAGUGCACUGGAUGUUUGUGUUCUCCGAGCGUUUACAGGUUUUUUUUUUCUUUUUUUAAAUGUACAACACACACUCCCAGACAUAAUCAUUUCUCAGAAUUUCUUUAUUAAAAGAGCCAGUUCCAGUGUGGUUACUAGAAAUAAACACGGAGAACAACUUCACAAUCCAGCCAUCAGGUUUUGCACCACACACUUUAGGGAUGCUAUUAUGGUAACAUUAUCAUAUUCAGCUAUAACCAACAAAAGAGAGACAAGACAGCAGUUUAAUCACUUGAUGGGAAAUCUUCAGUCAUGUCACCAACACAGGAACCCGUGUAAUCAGAGCUGCUGCUAAUCAAACAUGUAAGAAAUGGAAGAGAAAGUACAUGAAUGAACGAGUUUGUUAGCAGCCACUGUCCAGACAGCAUUUCCACAAAGAACCUUAUUUGCAGCUGGUGUGCUUUUGUGUUGCACAAGACUCCUGCCUGGAUAAGAAUUUGAACCCACAUCACUUUUUUCAUCAUUUACAUUUC